GAUGAACGCUAGCUACAGGCUUAACACAUGCAAGUCGAGGGGAAACGAUAGAGAAAGCUUGCUUUUUCUAGGCGUCGACCGGCGCACGGGUGAGUAACGCGUAUCCAACCUGCCCAUCACUUGGGGAUAACCUUGCGAAAGUAAGACUAAUACCCAAUGAUAUCUCUAGAAGACAUCUGAAAGAGAUUAAAGAUUUAUCGGUGAUGGAUGGGGAUGCGUCUGAUUAGCUUGUUGGCGGGGGUAACGGCCCACCAAGGCGACGAUCAGUAGGGGUUCUGAGAGGAAGGUCCCCCACAUUGGAACUGAGACACGGUCCAAACUCCUACGGGAGGCAGCAGUGAGGAAUAUUGGUCAAUGGACGAGAGUCUGAACCAGCCAAGUAGCGUGCAGGAUGGCGGCCCUAUGGGUUGUAAACUGCUUUUAUAAGGGAAUAAAGUGAGUCUCGUGAGGCUUUUUGCAUGUACCUUAUGAAUAAGGACCGGCUAAUUCCGUGCCAGCAGCCG
This 503-nucleotide ribosomal RNA is filed under the name uncultured bacterium. RNAcentral's name for it is "bacterial SSU rRNA". It matches the Rfam family "Bacterial small subunit ribosomal RNA", at positions 28 to 517 of the family's 1533-position model. The record is from RNAcentral.